GUCUUUGUAUUUGUAGGACUUUCGAAAGAAUAAAAUUUUACCACGCAACAAUGAAAAUAUUUUAUGUAUGUUUUCUAUAAAUACUUGCCUCUUUCUGUCUCUUUGUAUUCAUCCAAAGUCUAGACAUGGCAUUGGCAUCUAUACAUUCACUACUCUUAUUCCUACUUGGAGUGAUGUUGCUCACAAGUUCAUUGUUAGCUGCAACAACACUUCAAGAGAAUCCACCAAACGAUUAUAAGUAUCCAAAAAGAUUGCCAGCUCCCCAAAGGCCCAAAAUAAUUGUGCCAUAUCCCCGUGAACCUCCUAUAAACGAUCCUCUCAUAUAUAGUAUGAUUUUAUUUUUCUUACUCUAUUUUUAUUAUUCUACCUUUCUUUUAUGUCUUUUUUCUUUCAAAUGGGUUAUAUGCAAANNNNNNNNUUUUUUUUUGUGUAAUUAUCUUUCUUCUUUUAUAAUUUAGAUUACAUAAAAACAAUGACUUGAUACCCUACUUUCU
This 494-nucleotide long non-coding RNA is filed under the name Trifolium pratense (red clover). Its description in RNAcentral is "long non-coding RNA (TPRA_LNC014038)". The record is from RNAcentral. Lineage: Eukaryota; Viridiplantae; Streptophyta; Magnoliopsida; Fabales; Fabaceae.